AAACCAGCACCUCAAGUGGUCAGGAUGAUUAUUGGGCCUAAAGCAUCCGUAGCCUGCUCUGUAAGUUUUCGGUUAAAUCUGUAUGCUCAACAUACAGGCCGCCGGGAAUACUGCAGAGCUAGGGAGUGGGAGAGGUAGACGGUACUCGGGAGGAAGUGGUAAAAUGCUUUGAUCUCUCGAUGACCACCUGUGGGGAAGGCGGUCUACCAGAACACGUCCGACGGUGAGGGAUGAAAGCUGGGGGAGCAAACCGGAUUAGAAACCCGGGUAGUCC
This 274-nucleotide ribosomal RNA is filed under the name uncultured bacterium. Its description in RNAcentral is "partial 16S ribosomal RNA". It matches the Rfam family "Archaeal small subunit ribosomal RNA", at positions 473 to 747 of the family's 1478-position model. The record is from RNAcentral.